Corythoichthys intestinalis (scribbled pipefish) is the source of this 375-nucleotide long non-coding RNA. RefSeq lists it as uncharacterized. The record is from RefSeq and is a predicted model, not a curated record. NCBI's taxonomy places the organism in Eukaryota, Metazoa, Chordata, Actinopteri, Syngnathiformes, Syngnathidae. The transcript has 3 exons.
ACCACGUCCAUCUGCGUGAGCGCUUUCCCGUAAAUGGCUGCGGUGAAUUUGGGCUCCUGCUGGUGGAGAUCCUCGUCGAAAAGCGGGACCCCCGUGGACAUGUCCCGCACGGGCUCGUGCUUGAGACGGCCCAGCAUACAGCAGGAAGAAGAGAAGGGAGUGGACGUGCUGGGGCUCGGAAACAUCGCCAACGACUAUUAAACUGUCAUGUGGAGGCAACAAGAAGACAUAGCCCUUGCAUCACAGCAUACAAAAACCUUGAUGGAAUUUGCCUUCACCGAGACGUCUAAUGGGCUCCCCCUCCGUGACCGAGAGAACGCCGAGAGAAUUACCUUAUUUUUGUCACGUAAAAGCGCUGUCCAGACUUAUGAUGAU